RNAcentral lists this ribosomal RNA (253 nucleotides) under uncultured bacterium. RNAcentral describes it as "partial 16S ribosomal RNA". It matches the Rfam family "Bacterial small subunit ribosomal RNA", at positions 524 to 776 of the family's 1533-position model. The record is from RNAcentral.
UACGAAGGGGGCUAGCGUUGCUCGGAAUCACUGGGCGUAAAGCGCACGUAGGCGGAUUUCUAAGUCGGGGGUGAAAUCCUGGAGCUCAACUCCAGAACUGCCUUCGAUACUGGAAAUCUCGAGUCCGGGAGAGGUGAGUGGAACUCCGAGUGUAGAGGUGAAAUUCGUAGAUAUUCGGAAGAACACCAGUGGCGAAGGCGGCUCACUGGCCCGGUACUGACGCUGAGGUGCGAAAGCGUGGGGAGCGAACAGG